UGCCAGGUCAUCUAAUGGCAGGAUGGCAGGCUCUGAACCUGCUCGUGAAGGUUCGAGUCCUUCCCUGGCAG
The sequence is a transfer RNA, 71 nucleotides long. It matches the Rfam family "tRNA". From Rfam's summary of the family: Transfer RNA (tRNA) molecules are approximately 80 nucleotides in length. Their secondary structure includes four short double-helical elements and three loops (D, anti-codon, and T loops).